CCGGCCGUGUGCACGCGGCUUAAGGUGGAUCUCGCCGCGGUCGACACACCCUGCCUUGGCCGCGGCGGCCAACGCGGACGGACGUGCCAUUUUCUCGACGGCCGGGAGUCCGUUACACAAGAGGAUCCGUUAUGCGGAGAGAGAAAGUGGCGGCCGACGAUAUUUCGCUGCGGGUAUAGCGGUCGUCUCUCGGCCAGCAGGAAACUGGACUGCUCCAGAACGGAGCACGACCGUGAACGUCAUCUCCGCCGGCUGGCUUCUUCCACUGGACGACGACGACGUGCCGGCCAUCACGGUCGACGCGGAGAAAAGGGAAAGUGAGGCGACAAGACGAUUCGCGGAACGGCCUUUCAUCGAAUGUACCGUAUCGAUUCGAUGAAUAUCGAUUGGACGAAAAAGCGACAGGCUCGUGGCAGGAGAACAACGGGACAUUUAGAUCGCAACUGUAAUCGAAGAUAACCUCAAAAAAAAAGAACGAUCAAAAACGAGGCUCGUAGGAAUGUCACCGUCUGACCUUGAAAACGAAAUUCUCGCAGGCACAAUAUGUUACACAUAACGCGGCGAACUGGGACAGAUUGGCGGGAUUUAUGAAACAGCGCUAAUGACAUCUGUG
This is a long non-coding RNA of Eufriesea mexicana, 613 nucleotides long. RefSeq lists it as uncharacterized. The record is from RefSeq and is a predicted model, not a curated record. The transcript has 3 exons. NCBI's taxonomy places the organism in Eukaryota, Metazoa, Arthropoda, Insecta, Hymenoptera, Apidae.